Molecule: ribosomal RNA, 503 nt
Filed under: uncultured bacterium
Lineage: Bacteria
Description: bacterial SSU rRNA
Rfam family: Bacterial small subunit ribosomal RNA
Source: RNAcentral
AGUUUGAUCAUGGCUCAGAUUGAACGCUGGCGGCAUGCUUUACACAUGCAAGUCGAGCGGCAGCGCGGGGGCAACCCUGGCGGCGAGCGGCGAACGGGUGAGUAAUGCAUCGGAACGUGUCCCGUAGUGGGGAUAACCCGGCGAAAGCCGGGCUAAUACCGCAUAUGCUCUACGGAGGAAAGGGGGGGAUCCGCAAGGACCUCUCGCUAUGGGAGCGGCCGAUGUCCGAUUAGCUUGUUGGUGGGGUAAUGGCUUACCAAGGCGACGAUCGGUAGCUGGUCUGAGAGGAUGAUCAGCCACACUGGGACUGAGACACGGCCCAGACUCCUACGGGAGGCAGCAGUGGGGAAUUUUGGACAAUGGGGGCAACCCUGAUCCAGCCAUGCCGCGUGCGGGAAGAAGGCCUUCGGGUUGUAAACCGCUUUUAGUCGGGAAGAAAAGGCGAUCUCUAAUACGGGUCGUUCUUGACGGUACCGGCGGAAUAAGCACCGGCUAACUACGUG